This 359-nucleotide ribosomal RNA is filed under the name Escherichia coli. Its description in RNAcentral is "bacterial LSU rRNA". It matches the Rfam family "Bacterial large subunit ribosomal RNA", at positions 1 to 387 of the family's 2925-position model. The record is from RNAcentral. Lineage: Bacteria; Pseudomonadati; Pseudomonadota; Gammaproteobacteria; Enterobacterales; Enterobacteriaceae.
GGGUUGUGAGGUUAAGCGACUAAGCGUACACGGUGGAUGCCCUGGCAGUCAGAGGCGAUGAAGGACGUGCUAAUCUGCGAUAAGCGUCGGUGAGGUGAUAUGAACCGUUAUAACCGGCGAUUUCCGAAUGGGGAAACCCAGUGUGUUUCGACACACUAUCAUUAACUGAAUCCAUAGGUUAAUGAGGCGAACCGGGGGAACUGAAACAUCUAAGUACCCCGAGGAAAAGAAAUCAACCGAGAUUCCCCCAGUAGCGGCGAGCGAACGGGGAGGAGCCCAGAGCCUGAMUCAGUGUGKGUGUUAGUGGACGCGUCGGGCCAGGCCUGCGCUCCAGGGUGACAGCCGCGGACAGCACCAUG